GUGGGUACGGGAGGACUGUCCACGGUGGGCCGGUGAAAAAAGCAAAAUCCACCCGGGCUGUUGUGUAUAUACUUUCAUACGCUAUGUUUUAUUCUUUAACAUUCUACAUUUGUCUUUUUAUAUUUGAAAAUAUAUAAUAUAUUAAUAAAAAUUGAUUGACGUCAAGAAAAUGCAAAAAAGAAACAUAAUCUAUGCAACUGCA
Molecule: long non-coding RNA, 202 nt
Filed under: Mytilus galloprovincialis (Mediterranean mussel)
Lineage: Eukaryota; Metazoa; Mollusca; Bivalvia; Mytilida; Mytilidae
Source: RNAcentral